GGAAUAGACUGGGAGAUGGAGGCAAUUGGACACAUCAAGAGUACAAGGUUCCGUUUCUGUGGGGAUCUGGAUUGCCCGGACUGGGUUUUGGCAGAGAUUAGCACCUUGGCUAAAAUAUCCUCAGUUAAAUUGAAGUUGAUCUGUGCCCAAGUCCUGAAGGCACAGCUGGGAGAAGCAAUUGAUUAUGAAAAGAUACUGAAGCUGACUGCAGAUGCUCGCUUUGAGUCCGGUGACAUCAAAGCCACAGUUGCUGUCCUCUGUUUUAUUCUCUCAAGUGCCGCUAAGCAUAAUGUAAGCAGCGAUAAUCUGUCUAGUGAACUCCAGCAGCUGGGUCUUCCCAGAGAACAUGCUGUCUCUCUCUGUCGCUCUUAUGAAGAGAAGCAGACUGCCUUGCAGGAAACCCUGAGAGAGAACAGUCUCCGCUUAUCGCGUUUAUCCUCCGUGAACUGGCGGGUAGACCAGACUUUGAGCUCUAGUGUACUGCAGGAUGUCAAUGAGCCAGUAGUUCAUCUAAACCUGUGCGUGAAAGAUUCUGCCAGCUCCAGACCUGUCAAUAUAACUAUGUCUGCCAGUAAAUUAAGAGUUUUGUUAACAGAGAUGAAACAGGCUCUUGAGAUGACAAACUCCCUGAACUGACCUCAAAUUUGCUCAGUAAUUGAAAAGUCAGCAGGAAUACAGUAGACUACAAGGCCUUGAAAAGAAGAAGAACACUGAUGCUUCUAGAACAGUGGUCCGCAGGUUGAAGACCACUGUUCUAGACUAUACAGGCUUUCAUGCCAUACUGUGCAACGUGUACACAUCCAGUGCGUUCCCUUGGGAUAUAGAUUUUCAGCCAGACAUCUUACACAGUUCUGGAUGGAAGAUGGUUCCUGAAGAUGAGCAGAAGGCAACUUUUUGUUUAGCAUAUGCAUCCUAAAUAAAUAAUCUUGCUUGAUAGACAUCUGCACUUCCAUAUACUUUUAAUGUUCUAUUCAAAUCAAGAAUAUAAAUAAUAUAAAGUGUGAAAAAAGGCAUUUCAUUGUCUCUCUUAUCUUUGUCAUUGUCAAUAUGUGCACAUCAUUUCUCAUACAAUACUAUUUGUUAUAGCUUCAAAUAUUUAAUAUUUGUUACUGUUUUACAGUUUAAUACAAUGUACAAUUCUGCUUUCAAUAAAAUGGUUUAUUGAAACUGAAUAAAAUGUUUAGAGAAAUUUACUUACUAGCUUUUGUUGUUAGAUUAACCUAAAGCAGUGGUCUGCAAAUUGUAAGCCUCCAGAUGUUGCUAAACUAAAACUCUCUGCAUGCCCAGAUUUGACCAUAUAUAACACUUAGCAAUGCAUUAUGUAUGGUAAAAUCUUCAUCCUCGGGGGACGUUUCUGCCCGCAGGGAUGGUAAGAAUAUGAA
Hyla sarda is the source of this 1382-nucleotide RNA transcript. It is a transcript of the gene named COMM domain containing 4, with no coding region annotated. The record is from RefSeq and is a predicted model, not a curated record. Lineage: Eukaryota; Metazoa; Chordata; Amphibia; Anura; Hylidae. The transcript has 9 exons.